Molecule: ribosomal RNA, 2898 nt
Filed under: Klebsiella pneumoniae
Lineage: Bacteria; Pseudomonadati; Pseudomonadota; Gammaproteobacteria; Enterobacterales; Enterobacteriaceae
Description: 23S ribosomal RNA
Rfam family: Bacterial large subunit ribosomal RNA
Source: RNAcentral
GGUUAAGCGACUAAGCGUACACGGUGGAUGCCCUGGCAGUCAGAGGCGAUGAAGGACGUGCUAAUCUGCGAAAAGCGCCGGCGAGGUGAUAUGAACCUUUGACCCGGCGAUGUCCGAAUGGGGAAACCCAGUGCAAUUCGUUGCACUAUCGUUAACUGAAUACAUAGGUUAACGAGGCGAACCGGGGAACUGAAACAUCUAAGUACCCCGAGGAAAAGAAAUCAACCGAGAUUCCCCCAGUAGCGGCGAGCGAACGGGGAGCAGCCCAGAGUCUGAAUCAGCUUGUGUGUUAGUGGAACGGUCUGGAAAGUCCGACGGUACAGGGUGAUAGUCCCGUACACGAAAUGCACAUGCUGUGAACUCGAAGAGUAGGGCGGGACACGUGGUAUCCUGUCUGAAUAUGGGGGGACCAUCCUCCAAGGCUAAAUACUCCUGACUGACCGAUAGUGAACCAGUACCGUGAGGGAAAGGCGAAAAGAACCCCGGCGAGGGGAGUGAAAAAGAACCUGAAACCGUGUACGUACAAGCAGUGGGAGCCUCUUCGGGGUGACUGCGUACCUUUUGUAUAAUGGGUCAGCGACUUAUAUUCUGUAGCAAGGUUAACCGUAUAGGGGAGCCGAAGGGAAACCGAGUCUUAACUGGGCGUUAAGUUGCAGGGUAUAGACCCGAAACCCGGUGAUCUAGCCAUGGGCAGGUUGAAGGUUGGGUAACACUAACUGGAGGACCGAACCGACUAAUGUUGAAAAAUUAGCGGAUGACCUGUGGCUGGGGGUGAAAGGCCAAUCAAACCGGGAGAUAGCUGGUUCUCCCCGAAAGCUAUUUAGGUAGCGCCUCGUGAAUUCAUCUUCGGGGGUAGAGCACUGUUUCGGCUAGGGGGCCAUCCCGGCUUACCAACCCGAUGCAAACUACGAAUACCGAAGAAUGUUAUCACGGGAGACACACGGCGGGUGCUAACGUCCGUCGUGAAGAGGGAAACAACCCAGACCGCCAGCUAAGGUCCCAAAGUCAUGGUUAAGUGGGAAACGAUGUGGGAAGGCACAGACAGCCAGGAUGUUGGCUUAGAAGCAGCCAUCAUUUAAAGAAAGCGUAAUAGCUCACUGGUCGAGUCGGCCUGCGCGGAAGAUGUAACGGGGCUAAACCAUGCACCGAAGCUGCGGCAGCGACACUAUGCGUUGUUGGGUAGGGGAGCGUUCUGUAAGCCUGCGAAGGUGUGCUGUGAGGCAUGCUGGAGGUAUCAGAAGUGCGAAUGCUGACAUAAGUAACGAUAAAGCGGGUGAAAAGCCCGCUCGCCGGAAGACCAAGGGUUCCUGUCCAACGUUAAUCGGGGCAGGGUGAGUCGACCCCUAAGGCGAGGCCGAAAGGCGUAGUCGAUGGGAAACAGGUUAAUAUUCCUGUACUUGGUGUUACUGCGAAGGGGGGACGGAGAAGGCUAUGUCAGCCGGGCGACGGUUGUCCCGGUUUAAGCAUGUAGGCGGGGGAUCCAGGCAAAUCCGGUAUAAUCAACGCUGAGGUGUGAUGACGAGGCACUACGGUGCUGAAGUGAUAAAUGCCCUGCUUCCAGGAAAAGCCUCUAAGCAUCAGGUAACAUCAAAUCGUACCCCAAACCGACACAGGUGGUCAGGUAGAGAAUACCAAGGCGCUUGAGAGAACUCGGGUGAAGGAACUAGGCAAAAUGGUGCCGUAACUUCGGGAGAAGGCACGCUGAUGUGUAGGUGAAGUCCCUGCGGACGGAGCUGAAAUCAGUCGAAGAUACCAGCUGGCUGCAACUGUUUAUUAAAAACACAGCACUGUGCAAACACGAAAGUGGACGUAUACGGUGUGACGCCUGCCCGGUGCCGGAAGGUUAAUUGAUGGGGUUAUCCGCAAGGCGAAGCUCUUGAUCGAAGCCCCGGUAAACGGCGGCCGUAACUAUAACGGUCCUAAGGUAGCGAAAUUCCUUGUCGGGUAAGUUCCGACCUGCACGAAUGGCGUAAUGAUGGCCAGGCUGUCUCCACCCGAGACUCAGUGAAAUUGAACUCGCUGUGAAGAUGCAGUGUACCCGCGGCAAGACGGAAAGACCCCGUGAACCUUUACUAUAGCUUGACACUGAACACUGAGCCUUGAUGUGUAGGAUAGGUGGGAGGCUUUGAAGCGUGGACGCCAGUCUGCGUGGAGCCAACCUUGAAAUACCACCCUUUAAUGUCUGAUGUUCUAACGUUGACCCCUUAUCGGGGUUGCGGACAGUGUCUGGUGGGUAGUUUGACUGGGGCGGUCUCCUCCCAAAGCGUAACGGAGGAGCACGAAGGUUGGCUAAUCCUGGUCGGACAUCAGGAGGUUAGUGCAAUGGCAUAAGCUAGCUUGACUGCGAGCGUGACGGCGCGAGCAGGUGCGAAAGCAGGUCAUAGUGAUCCGGUGGUUCUGAAUGGAAGGGCCAUCGCUCAACGGAUAAAAGGUACUCCGGGGAUAACAGGCUGAUACCGCCCAAGAGUUCAUAUCGACGGCGGUGUUUGGCACCUCGAUGUCGGCUCAUCACAUCCUGGGGCUGAAGUAGGUCCCAAGGGUAUGGCUGUUCGCCAUUUAAAGUGGUACGCGAGCUGGGUUUAGAACGUCGUGAGACAGUUCGGUCCCUAUCUGCCGUGGGCGCUGGAGAAUUGAGGGGGCUGCUCCUAGUACGAGAGGACCGGAGUGGACGCAUCACUGGUGUUCGGGUUGUCAUGCCAAUGGCACUGCCCGGUAGCUAAAUGCGGAAGAGAUAAGUGCUGAAAGCAUCUAAGCACGAAACUUGCCCCGAGAUGAGUUCUCCCUGAGACUUUAAGUCUCCUGAAGGAACGUUGAAGACGACGACGUUGAUAGGCCGGGUGUGUAAGCGCAGCGAUGCGUUGAGCUAACCGGUACUAAUGAACCGUGAGGCUUAACCUU